RNAcentral lists this ribosomal RNA (553 nucleotides) under uncultured bacterium. RNAcentral's name for it is "partial 16S ribosomal RNA". It matches the Rfam family "Bacterial small subunit ribosomal RNA", at positions 355 to 895 of the family's 1533-position model. The record is from RNAcentral.
UGGGGAAUAUUGGACAAUGGGGGCAACCCUGAUCCAGCCAUGCCGCGUGUGUGAAGAAGGCCUUUUGGUUGUAAAGCACUUUAAGCAGGGAGGAGAGGCUAAUGGUUAAUACCCAUUAGAUUAGACGUUACCUGCAGAAUAAGCACCGGCUAACUCUGUGCCAGCAGCCGCGGUAAUACAGAGGGUGCGAGCGUUAAUCGGAAUUACUGGGCGUAAAGCGAGUGUAGGUGGCUCAUUAAGUCACAUGUGAAAUCCCCGGGCUUAACCUGGGAACUGCAUGUGAUACUGGUGGUGCUAGAAUAUGUGAGAGGGAAGUAGAAUUCCAGGUGUAGCGGUGAAAUGCGUAGAGAUCUGGAGGAAUACCGAUGGCGAAGGCAGCUUCCUGGCAUAAUAUUGACACUGAGAUUCGAAAGCGUGGGUAGCAAACAGGAUUAGAUACCCUGGUAGUCCACGCCGUAAAACGAUGUCUACUAGCCGUUGGGGUCCUUGAGACUUUAGUGGCGCAGUUAAACGCGAUAAAGUAGACCGCCUGGGGGAGUACGGCCGCAAGGUU